GGAUGAACGCUAGCUACAGGCUUAACACAUGCAAGUCGAGGGGCAGCAUGUAACUUAGCUUGCUAAGUUUGAUGGCGACCGGCGCACGGGUGAGUAACACGUAUCCAACCUUCCGUUUACUCAGGGAUAGCCUUUCGAAAGAAAGAUUAAUACCUGAUAGUAUGGUGAGAUUGCAUGAUAGCACCAUUAAAGAUUUAUUGGUAAACGAUGGGGAUGCGUUCCAUUAGGUAGUAGGCGGGGUAACGGCCCACCUAGCCGACGAUGGAUAGGGGUUCUGAGAGGAAGGUCCCCCACAUUGGAACUGAGACACGGUCCAAACUCCUACGGGAGGCAGCAGUGAGGAAUAUUGGUCAAUGGGCGAGAGCCUGAACCAGCCAAGUAGCGUGAAGGAUGAAGGUCCUACGGAUUGUAAACUUCUUUUAUACGGGAAUAAAGUAUCCUACGUGUAGGAUUUUGUAUGUACCGUAUGAAUAAGCAUCGGCUAACUCCGUG
Molecule: ribosomal RNA, 492 nt
Filed under: uncultured bacterium
Lineage: Bacteria
Description: bacterial SSU rRNA
Rfam family: Bacterial small subunit ribosomal RNA
Source: RNAcentral